GAUUGAACGCUGGCGGCAUGCUUUACACAUGCAAGUCGAACGGCAGCGCGGGGCAACCUGGCGGCGAGUGGCGAACGGGUGAGUAAUAUAUCGGAACGUACCCAAGAGUGGGGGAUAACGUAGCGAAAGUUACGCUAAUACCGCAUACGAUCUAAGGAUGAAAGUGGGGGAUCGCAAGACCUCAUGCUCCUGGAGCGGCCGAUAUCUGAUUAGCUAGUUGGUGAGGUAAAGGCUCACCAAGGCGACGAUCAGUAGCUGGUCUGAGAGGACGACCAGCCACACUGGAACUGAGACACGGUCCAGACUCCUACGGGAGGCAGCAGUGGGGAAUUUUGGACAAUGGGCGCAAGCCUGAUCCAGCAAUGCCGCGUGAGUGAAGAAGGCCUUCGGGUUGUAAAGCUCUUUUGUCAGGGAAGAAACGGUAGRGGCUAAUAUCCUUUGCUAAUGACGGUACCUGAAGAAUAAGCACCGGCUAACUAC
RNAcentral lists this ribosomal RNA (480 nucleotides) under Massilia sp. 'ARUP UnID 395'. RNAcentral's name for it is "bacterial SSU rRNA". It matches the Rfam family "Bacterial small subunit ribosomal RNA", at positions 27 to 504 of the family's 1533-position model. The record is from RNAcentral. Lineage: Bacteria; Pseudomonadati; Pseudomonadota; Betaproteobacteria; Burkholderiales; Oxalobacteraceae.